Molecule: long non-coding RNA, 210 nt
Filed under: Linum usitatissimum (flax)
Lineage: Eukaryota; Viridiplantae; Streptophyta; Magnoliopsida; Malpighiales; Linaceae
Description: long non-coding RNA (LUSI_LNC000127)
Source: RNAcentral
AGAUGGCUCCUUCUUGUUCGACCCGCCGGAGCUGGACGAUGGGGUAGAAGGCUCGGGCGUGGUGGACCCUGAUCCGGACCCCGAUGGAGUAGUGGGAGUUGGGGUGCUGGGGGACCCACCGCUGCUGGCCGCAUCGACUUUAAUUGACACCUUCAUGCCGCUGCUGCAGUGGCCGGCGGCAGUGCAGAUGAAGUACUUAGUGCCGGCGGU